RNAcentral lists this ribosomal RNA (360 nucleotides) under uncultured bacterium. RNAcentral describes it as "partial 16S ribosomal RNA". It matches the Rfam family "Bacterial small subunit ribosomal RNA", at positions 338 to 695 of the family's 1533-position model. The record is from RNAcentral.
CCUACGGGCGGCAGCAGUGAGGAAUAUUGGUCAAUGGGCGCGAGCCUGAACCAGCCAAGUAGCGUGAAGGAGGAAGGCCCAAUGGGGUGUAAACUUCUGUUAUAUGGGAAUAAAGUGCAGUACGUAUACUGCUUUGCAUGUACCUUAUGAAUAAGGAUCGGCUAACUCCGUGCCAGCAGCCGCGGUAAUACGGCGGAUCCGAGCGUUAUCCGGAUUUAUUGGGUUUAAAGGGAGCGUAGGCGGGUUGUUAAGUCAGUUGUGAAAGUUUGCGGCUCAACCGUACAAUUGCCGUUUAUACGGGCAUCCUUGAGUACAGUAGCGGUAGGCCGAAUUCGUGGUGUAGCCGUUACAUUCUUAGAU